CGGCGGACGGCUGAGUAACGCGUGGGAACGUGCCCCAAAGUGAGGGAUAAGCACCGGAAACGGUGUCUAAUACCGCAUAUGAUCUUCGGAUUAAAGCUUUAUGCGCUUUGGGAGCGGCCUGCGUCCUAUUAGAUAGUUGGUGAGGUAAAGGCUCACCAAGUCAACGAUGGGUAGCUGGUCUGAGAGGAUGACCAGCCAGACUGGAACUGAGACACGGUCCAGACUCCUACGGGAGGCAGCAGUAAGGAAUCUUCCACAAUGGGCGAAAGCCUGAUGGAGCAACGCCGCGUGCAGGAUGAAGGCCUUCGGGUCGUAAACUGCUUUUAUGAGUGAAGAAUAUGACGGUAACUCAUGAAUAAGGGUCGGCUAACUACGUGCCAGCAGCCGCGGUCAUACGUAGGACCCAAGCGUUAUCCGGAGUGACUGGGCGUAAAGAGUUGCGUAGGUGGCUUGUAAAGUGAAUAGUGAAAUCUGGGGGCUCAACCUCACAGACUGUUAUUCAAAC
This 505-nucleotide ribosomal RNA is filed under the name uncultured Candidatus Saccharibacteria bacterium. RNAcentral describes it as "bacterial SSU rRNA". It matches the Rfam family "Bacterial small subunit ribosomal RNA", at positions 96 to 633 of the family's 1533-position model. Lineage: Bacteria; Candidatus Saccharimonadota. The record is from RNAcentral.